GCCUAAGAAGCAAUCUCUUUUCAAGCACUCAGAGAUGGAGUCAAAGGCACUCCUGCUAUGGAUGCUGCUGCUCAGGGUACCAGGUUCCACUGGGGACAUUGUGCUGACCCAGUCUCCAGGUUUCCUGACUGUGUCUCUGGUACAAAAGGCCACCAUCUCCUGCAAGUCCAGUGAGAGUGUCGAUUUCUUUGGGAUAAAUGCUAUGCAAUGGUAUCAACAGAAACCAGGACAGCCUCCCGAAUUCCUCAUCUAUGCUGCAUCCUACCAAGAGUCUGGGGUCCCUGCCAGGUUCAGUGGCAGUGGGUCUGAGACAGACUUCACCCUCUCCAUCAAUCCUGUGGAGGCUGAUGAUGCUGCAACCUAUUACUGUCAGCAGACUAAGAAGCUUCCUCCCACAGUGCUCCAGGGCUGAACAAAAACCUCCUGGGGUUGUUGCUCACUGAGGCUC
Myodes glareolus (Bank vole) is the source of this 448-nucleotide non-coding RNA. The record is from the annotation of a RefSeq genome assembly. Lineage: Eukaryota; Metazoa; Chordata; Mammalia; Rodentia; Cricetidae.